UUGUUUAGGGACAUAACUUUGGUUGUACUGAACAAAAGUGAUAAUAGGUUUUUAAGAUCAAUUAAUCCUAAAGCACUAUCAUGUGGAUGUAGUAUUUUAGGUGUCAAUCCAAAUGGGUGUGAUGCAAACAAAUGAGAUGUGAUCAGAAGUCAUGAAGUCAAGCCAAGCAAUAACAGUUUUGGGGUUUCUAACAGUCCUAAGCGAACAUGUAGAAAACUGAAACAUUAUCAA
This 231-nucleotide small RNA is filed under the name Arabidopsis thaliana (thale cress). RNAcentral describes it as "ATSL202220". The record is from RNAcentral. Lineage: Eukaryota; Viridiplantae; Streptophyta; Magnoliopsida; Brassicales; Brassicaceae.